AAGUCGAGGGGCAGCAUGAACUUAGCUUGCUAAGUUUGAUGGCGACCGGCGCACGGGUGAGUAACACGUAUCCAACCUGCCGAUGACUCGGGGAUAGCCUUUCGAAAGAAAGAUUAAUACCCGAUGGCAUAGUUCUUCCGCAUGGUAGAACUAUUAAAGAAUUUCGGUCAUCGAUGGGGAUGCGUUCCAUUAGGUUGUUGGCGGGGUAACGGCCCACCAAGCCUUCGAUGGAUAGGGGUUCUGAGAGGUUAACCCCCACAUUGGUACUGAGACACGGUCCAAACUCC
Molecule: ribosomal RNA, 287 nt
Filed under: uncultured Bacteroides sp.
Lineage: Bacteria; Pseudomonadati; Bacteroidota; Bacteroidia; Bacteroidales; Bacteroidaceae
Description: partial 16S ribosomal RNA
Rfam family: Bacterial small subunit ribosomal RNA
Source: RNAcentral